GACGAACGCUGGCGGCGUGCUUAACACAUGCAAGUCGAACGAAGUGGCGAACGGGUGAGUAACGCGUAAUCAACCUGCCCUUCAGAGGGGGACAACAGUUGGAAACGACUGCUAAUACCGCAUACUGAAGGAGGGGAUUGCGUGUGGUUCGGUAGGUUGAGGGGUAACGGCCCACCAAGGCGAGGAUCAGUAGCCGGUUUUGGGGGGUGAACGGCCAAAUUUGGAACGGGGCAACGCCCAGGCUCCUACGGGAGGCAGGCGUGGGGAAUCAUCCGCAAUGGGCGAAAGGCUGACGGAACACCGCCGCGUGAGUUGUGACGGCCUUCGGGUUUGAAAGCUAUGUUAAUCGGGACGCGGUACCGGAAUAGAAAGCCACGGCUAACUACGUGCCAGCAGCCGCGGUAAUAC
Molecule: ribosomal RNA, 408 nt
Filed under: uncultured bacterium
Lineage: Bacteria
Description: partial 16S ribosomal RNA
Rfam family: Bacterial small subunit ribosomal RNA
Source: RNAcentral